This 1420-nucleotide ribosomal RNA is filed under the name uncultured organism. Its description in RNAcentral is "16S ribosomal RNA". It matches the Rfam family "Bacterial small subunit ribosomal RNA". The record is from RNAcentral.
GCUUAACACAUGCAAGUCGAGGGGCAGCAUGGUCUCAUUUUGCUAAGACUGAUGGCGACCGGCGCACGGGUGAGUAACACGUAUCCAACCUGCCGUCUACUCUUGGACAGCCUUCUGAAAGGAAGAUUAAUACAAGAUGGCAUCAUGAGUCCGCAUGUUCACAUGAUUAAAGGUAUUCCGGUAGACGAUGGGGAUGCGUUCCAUUAGAUAGUAGGCGGGGUAACGGCCCACCUAGUCUUCGAUGGAUAGGGGUUCUGAGAGGAAGGUCCCCCACAUUGGAACUGAGACACGGUCCAAACUCCUACGGGAGGCAGCAGUGAGGAAUAUUGGUCAAUGGGCGAGAGCCUGAACCAGCCAAGUAGCGUGAAGGAUGACUGCCCUAUGGGUUGUAAACUUCUUUUAUAAAGGAAUAAAGUCGGGUAUGCAUACCCGUUUGCAUGUACUUUAUGAAUAAGGAUCGGCUAACUCCGUGCCAGCAGCCGCGGUAAUACGGAGGAUCCGAGCGUUAUCCGGAUUUAUUGGGUUUAAAGGGAGCGUAGAUGGAUGUUUAAGUCAGUUGUGAAAGUUUGCGGCUCAACCGUAAAAUUGCAGUUGAUACUGGAUAUCUUGAGUGCAGUUGAGGCAGGCGGAAUUCGUGGUGUAGCGGUGAAAUGCUUAGAUAUCACGAAGAACUCCGAUUGCGAGGGCAGCCUGCUAAGCUGCAACUGACAUUGAGGCUCGAAAGUGUGGGUAUCAAACAAGAUUAGAUACCCUGGUAGUCCACACGGUAAACGAUGAAUACUCGCUGUUUGCGAUAUACUGCAAGCGGCCAAGCGAAAGCGUUAAGUAUUCCACCUGGGGAGUACGCCGGCAACGGUGAAACUCAAAGGAAUUGACGGGGGCCCGCACAAGCGGAGGAACAUGUGGUUUAAUUCGAUGAUACGCGAGGAACCUUACCCGGGCUUAAAUUGCAGAUGAAUUACGGUGAAAGCCGUAAGCCGCAAGGCAUCUGUGAAGGUGCUGCAUGGUUGUCGUCAGCUCGUGCCGUGAGGUGUCGGCUUAAGUGCCAUAACGAGCGCAACCCUUGUUGUCAGUUACUAACAGGUUCCGCUGAGGACUCUGACAAGACUGCCAUCGUAAGAUGUGAGGAAGGUGGGGAUGACGUCAAAUCAGCACGGCCCUUACGUCCGGGGCUACACACGUGUUACAAUGGGGGGUACAGAGGGCCGCUACCACGCGAGUGGAUGCCAAUCCCCAAAACCUCUCUCAGUUCGGACUGGAGUCUGCAACCCGACUCCACGAAGCUGGAUUCGCUAGUAAUCGCGCAUCAGCCACGGCGCGGUGAAUACGUUCCCGGGCCUUGUACACACCGCCCGUCAAGCCAUGGGAGCCGGGGGUACCUGAAGUGCAAAACCGCGAGGAGCGCCCUAGGGUAAAACUG